Molecule: non-coding RNA, 92 nt
Rfam family: Glycine riboswitch aptamer
About the family: This family represents the bacterial glycine riboswitch.
ACGACCCGGACGGGAGAGCCCUGGCUUCGGCCAGGCACCGAAGGAGCAAGCCUCCCCGCCAAUCUCUCAGGUACGCGUACCGUCCCGGUCGG